CCUACGGGGGGCAGCAGUGAGGAAUAUUGGUCAAUGGACGAGAGUCUGAACCAGCCAAGUAGCGUGAAGGAUGACUGCCCUAUGGGUUGUAAACUUCUUUUAUAUGGGAAUAAAAUGUUCCACGUGUGGGAUUUUGUAUGUACCAUAUGAAUAAGGUUCGGCUAACUCCGUGCCAGCAGCCGCGGUAAUACGGAGGAUCCGCGCGUUAUCCGGAUUUAUUGGGUUUAAAGGGAGCGUAGGUGGAUUGUUAAGUCAGUUGUGAAAGUUUGCGGCUCAACCGUAAAAUUGCAGUUGAAACUGGCAGUCUUGAGUACAGUAGAGGUGGGCGGAAUUCGUGGUGUAGCGGUGAAAUGCUUAGAUAUCACGAAGAACUCCGAUUGCGAAGGCAGUUCACUGGACUGCAACUGACACUGAGGCUCGAAAGUGUGGGUAUCAAACAGGAUUAGAUACCCGAGUAGUC
Molecule: ribosomal RNA, 460 nt
Filed under: uncultured bacterium
Lineage: Bacteria
Description: partial 16S ribosomal RNA
Rfam family: Bacterial small subunit ribosomal RNA
Source: RNAcentral